This 464-nucleotide ribosomal RNA is filed under the name Vreelandella stevensii. RNAcentral describes it as "partial 16S ribosomal RNA". It matches the Rfam family "Bacterial small subunit ribosomal RNA", at positions 338 to 795 of the family's 1533-position model. Lineage: Bacteria; Pseudomonadati; Pseudomonadota; Gammaproteobacteria; Oceanospirillales; Halomonadaceae. The record is from RNAcentral.
CCUACGGGCGGCUGCAGUGGGGAAUAUUGGACAAUGGGCGAAAGCCUGAUCCAGCCAUGCCGCGUGUGUGAAGAAGGCCUUCGGGUUGUAAAGCACUUUCAGUGGGGAAGAAAGCCUUGGGGCUAAUACCCUCGAGGAAGGACAUCACCCACAGAAGAAGCACCGGCUAACUCCGUGCCAGCAGCCGCGGUAAUACGGAGGGUGCGAGCGUUAAUCGGAAUUACUGGGCGUAAAGCGCGCGUAGGCGGUCUGAUAAGCCGGUUGUGAAAGCCCCGGGCUCAACCUGGGAACGGCAUCCGGAACUGUCAGGCUAGAGUGCAGGAGAGGAAGGUAGAAUUCCCGGUGUAGCGGUGAAAUGCGUAGAGAUCGGGAGGAAUACCAGUGGCGAAGGCGGCCUUCUGGACUGACACUGACGCUGAGGUGCGAAAGCGUGGGUAGCAAACAGGAUAGAUACCCCGGUAGUC